GUGCCAGCAGCCGCGGUAAGACAGAGGGUGCAAGCGUUGUUCGGAAUUAUUGGGCGUAAAGGGCGCGUAGGCGGCCAAGCAAGUUGGAUGUGAAAUCCCAGGGCUCAACCCCGGAAGUGCAUCCAAAACUGCUUAGCUUGAGUCCCGGAGAGGGUGGUGGAAUUCCCAGUGUAGAGGUGAAAUUCGUAGAUAUUGGGAGGAACACCGGUGGCGAAGGCGACCACCUGGACGGAGACUGACGCUGAGGCGCGAAAGCGUGGGGAGCAAACAGGAUUAGAUACCCUCGUAGUCC
RNAcentral lists this ribosomal RNA (292 nucleotides) under uncultured bacterium. RNAcentral describes it as "partial 16S ribosomal RNA". It matches the Rfam family "Bacterial small subunit ribosomal RNA", at positions 505 to 796 of the family's 1533-position model. The record is from RNAcentral.